This 460-nucleotide ribosomal RNA is filed under the name uncultured bacterium. RNAcentral's name for it is "partial 16S ribosomal RNA". It matches the Rfam family "Bacterial small subunit ribosomal RNA", at positions 338 to 795 of the family's 1533-position model. The record is from RNAcentral.
CCUACGGGAGGCAGCAGUGAGGAAUAUUGGUCAAUGGCCGGAAGGCUGAACCAGCCAUGCCGCGUUAAGGUCAGUGCCCUCUGGGCGUUAAACCUCUUUUGUGCGGGAGCAAUAAUGGUCACGUGUGGCCAGACGAGAGUACCGUACGAAUAAGCAUCGGCUAACUCCGUGCCAGCAGCCGCGGUAAUACGGGGGAUGCAAGCGUUAUCCGGGUUUAUUGGGUUUAAAGGGUGCGUAGGCUGGGAGGUAAGUCAGCGGUGAAAUGCCCCCGCUCAACGGGGUGAAGUGCCAUUGAUACUGCCUUGCUGGAAUGCGGAUGCCGUGGGAGGAAUGUGUGGUGUAGCGGUGAAAUGCAUAGAUAUCACACAGAACACCGAGUGCGAAGGUAUCUCACGAAUCCGCGAUUGACGCUGAUGCACGAAAGCGUGGGUAUCAAACAGGAUUAGAUACCCUUGUAGUC